This 301-nucleotide ribosomal RNA is filed under the name uncultured bacterium. RNAcentral's name for it is "partial 16S ribosomal RNA". It matches the Rfam family "Bacterial small subunit ribosomal RNA", at positions 509 to 807 of the family's 1533-position model. The record is from RNAcentral.
CAGCAGCCGCGGGAAUACGAAGGGGGCUAGUGUUGUUCGGAAUUACUGGGCGUAAAGCGCACGUAGGCGGACAUUUAAGUCAGGGGUGAAAUCCCGGGGCUCAACCCCGGAACUGCCUUUGAUACUGGGUGUCUUGAGUGUGGAAGAGGUCAGUGGAAUUGCGAGUGUAGAGGUGAAAUUCGUAGAUAUUCGCAGGAACACCAGUGGCGAAGGCGGCUGACUGGUCCACAACUGACGCUGAGGUGCGAAAGCGUGGGGAGCAAACAGGAUUAGAUACCCCCGUAGUCCCUGUCUCUUAUAC